Molecule: long non-coding RNA, 1259 nt
Filed under: Monodelphis domestica (gray short-tailed opossum)
Lineage: Eukaryota; Metazoa; Chordata; Mammalia; Didelphimorphia; Didelphidae
Description: lncRNA (ENSMODG00000036280.2)
Source: RNAcentral
AUGAAGCUGGAGCCCAAGAAAUUUAAGUCAUUUACCCCAGGAUCAGCAGGGUGUGAGAAGAAUGAUGCCACUCAGGAGGUGACCCAAAGGGAGGUGGCAGCCUGGAGAAUCCUGCAGGAUGAGCAAACAGAGCCAGAAGGACUCCAUCUGCCUCUGUUCUGGGUCACACAGCCUUGGGGUGGCAGAGCCCCAUCAUUUGAACACAGGUUCCAUGACUCCUGAAGGGAGCACUCUGUGGCCCAGAAUGACAUCAUGGUUGCCAAGGUCUCAGGAGUCAUUCAGUCCAACCCUGUCCUUUGAUAGAAAAUGAAGCUGGAGCCCAAGAAAUUUAAGUCAUUUACCCCAGGAUCAGCAGGGUGUGAGAAGAAUGAUGCCACUCAGGAGGUGACCCAAAGGGAGGAGGCAGCCUGGAGAAUCCUGCAGGGUAAGAAGAGGGGCAGGCUCACCAAGCAGAGCUCAGGGUGAUGGGCUGGCAAUAGUGGCAGGCCUGGAUUAUAAAGACCCAACAUCAGACCCAACUCGUCCCUCAGGAGGCUGUCCCAGCCCUUCCCUGGCUCUGACUCUUAGCACAUCUGUCCUCCCACCAGCUUUGGACUAUAGAGCCAGCAGCCUCUCUGGCCAAGUUAGAACACUGAGGAGAUCUGGGUUCUAGUGUCAGCCCUGCUGCUGUCACUGGGUCCUUCCUUGUGUGUCUCCCUGUCCUGCCCUGUAUCAGGAGGGCAUGAGGACUUUCCCCACCAAUACCACCCCAUUCAGAUCUGCUGAGAGCUGCUGGUAGUGGGGGAGGGUCUGAGGGUCCUUCAGGUCACAGAGGGUUUGUACAAUAAUGAAGCCAAAGUCAGGAAGUCACAGGGACCACACUGGGCCUUGGCUGCUUCCUUGGUCAAAUUCCUCACCUCCAUCCCAUCCCCUUUCCCCCUUUGGUCCCAAUGGAAGCCAUUGGAGAGAGUGUGAUUGAGAAUAGGAAAGUCCAUGAGAAAAACAACUCCAUAGAAACAGAGAAGAAAAAUAUUUGCUCUAUCACUUGAUUUCAUUGGAUUUCAUUGGGGAUAGGAUUGGGGAUGUAGCCUCUAUAUGAUCACCCUAGUGCAAAUAUAAAUAAUAUGGGGAAUAGAUCUUGAUCAGUGACACAUGUAAAAACUAGUGCAAUUGCUCGUUUGACUACAGAAGAAGGGUGGGAGAAAGAACGUGAAUAAUACCUUGAAAAAAUAGUCUAAAUGAAUUAAAUAAAUAAUUUUUUAAAAGGAAAAAAGAAAACA